RNAcentral lists this transfer RNA (65 nucleotides) under Eupteryx gracilirama. Its description in RNAcentral is "tRNA-Thr". Lineage: Eukaryota; Metazoa; Arthropoda; Insecta; Hemiptera; Cicadellidae. The record is from RNAcentral.
GUUUUAAUAAUUUAAUAAAAAUAAUGACUUUGUAAGUCAAAAUUAAGUUUCAAACUUUUAAAACA